AAACGACUCUCGGCAACGGAUAUCUCGGCUCUUGCAUCGAUGAAGAACGUAGCGAAAUGCGAUACGUGGUGUGAAUUGCAGAAUCCCGUGAACCAUCGAGUUUUUGAACGCAAGUUGCGCCCGAAGCCCUUGGGUUGAGGGCACGUCUGCCUGGGUGUCACGCAAUGUUUGCCCAAACCCAAAUUGCAAUGGGAUUUGGGCGGAUGUUGGUCUCCCGUGAGCCCUCUGCUUGCGGUUGGCCCAAAAAUGAGCCCUGUUGAUGUUCUACACGGCAAUCGGUGGUGUAAAGACCCUCGGACAAAGUCGUGUGCUCUCGUCACAUCGGCAUUAAUGGCCCCAAUGCAAUCAUUGCAUGAUAUCAAAGCGACCCCAGGUCAGGCGAGACUACCCGCUGAGUUUAAGCAUAUCAAUAAGCGGAGGAAAAGAAACUUACCAGGAUUCCCUUAGUAACGGCGAGCGAACCGGGAAA
RNAcentral lists this ribosomal RNA (469 nucleotides) under Garcinia tetralata. Its description in RNAcentral is "eukaryotic LSU rRNA". The stretch from base 5 to 160 matches the Rfam family "5.8S ribosomal RNA". The record is from RNAcentral. Lineage: Eukaryota; Viridiplantae; Streptophyta; Magnoliopsida; Malpighiales; Clusiaceae.